RNAcentral lists this ribosomal RNA (497 nucleotides) under uncultured bacterium. Its description in RNAcentral is "partial 16S ribosomal RNA". It matches the Rfam family "Bacterial small subunit ribosomal RNA", at positions 28 to 507 of the family's 1533-position model. The record is from RNAcentral.
GAUGAACGCUGGCGGCGUGCCUAAUACAUGCAAGUAGAACGCUGAAGGAAGGAGCUUGCUCUUUCCGGAUGAGUUGCGAACGGGUGAGUAACGCGUAGGUAACCUGCCUGGUAGCGGGGGAUAACUAUUGGAAACGAUAGCUAAUACCGCAUAACAGUAGAUGUUGCAUGAUAUCUACUUAAAAGGUGCAAUUGCACCACUACCAGAUGGACCUGCGUUGUAUUGGCUAGUUGGUGAGGUAACGGCUCACCAAGGCGACGAUACAUAGCCAACCUGAGAGGGUGAUCGGCCACACUGGGACUGAGACACGGCCCAGACUCCUACGGGAGGCAGCAGUAGGGAAUCUUCGGCAAUGGACGGAAGUCUGACCGAGCAACGCCGCGUGAGUGAAGAAGGUUUUCGGAUCGUAAAGCUCUGUUGUAAGAGAAGAACGAGUGUGAGAGUGGAAAGUUCACACUGUGACGGUAUCUUACCAGAAAGGGACGGCUAACUACGUG